UUUAUUUGCUUCUAAGUGAGGACACAAAACUAUUUCAAAAGGGUCAUGGGUCAUGCCUCGUGCUCUACUAGUGGUUACAAUGAAAAGGUUAUAGCUGUACAAAGUCGCUUUCUCCUCUACGUGCUGCUUCCUCUUGAAUUAUAUUAAUUAUUGCUUUCUAUAUAUGUGUGACAUAAUUUGUUUUCUUCACCAAGAAACAUUU
RNAcentral lists this long non-coding RNA (202 nucleotides) under Medicago truncatula (barrel medic). RNAcentral describes it as "lncRNA gene28773". The record is from RNAcentral. Lineage: Eukaryota; Viridiplantae; Streptophyta; Magnoliopsida; Fabales; Fabaceae.